This 253-nucleotide ribosomal RNA is filed under the name uncultured bacterium. RNAcentral describes it as "partial 16S ribosomal RNA". It matches the Rfam family "Bacterial small subunit ribosomal RNA", at positions 524 to 776 of the family's 1533-position model. The record is from RNAcentral.
UACGAAGGGGGCUAGCGUUGUUCGGAAUUACUGGGCGUAAAGCGCACGUAGGCGGGCGAUUAAGUCAGGGGUGAAAUCCCGGAGCUCAACUCCGGAACUGCCUUUGAUACUGGUCGUCUAGAGAUCGGAAGAGGUGAGUGGAAUUCCCAGUGUAGAGGUGAAAUUCGUAGAUAUUGGGAAGAACACCGGUGGCGAAAGCGCCUUGCUGGGUCUGCACUGACACUGAGGGACGAAAGCUAGGGGAGCGAAAGGG